RNAcentral lists this ribosomal RNA (513 nucleotides) under uncultured bacterium. Its description in RNAcentral is "partial 16S ribosomal RNA". It matches the Rfam family "Bacterial small subunit ribosomal RNA", at positions 28 to 507 of the family's 1533-position model. The record is from RNAcentral.
GACGAACGCUGGCGGCGUGCUUAACACAUGCAAGUCGAACGAAAAGAGGGAAAGAGCUUGCUCUUUCCGGAAUUGAGUGGCAAACGGGUGAGUAACACGUAAACAACCUGCCUUCAGGAUGGGGACAACAGACGCAAACGACUGCUACUACCGAAUAAGUUACAAGAGCCGCAUGGCCCAUGGAAGAAAACGUGGCCUCUACCUGUAAGCUAUCGCCUGUAGAGGGGUUUGCGUCUGAUUAACUGGUUGGAGGGGUAACGGCCCACCAAAGCCACUAUCAGAAGCCGGACUGGGGGGAGGAACGGGCACACUGGAAACUGGACAAGGGCCAGACCCCUUACGGAGGCAGCAAGGGGGAAUCUUCCGGAAAGGGGGGAAGCCUGACGGGGCAGAGGCCGCGGAGGGAUGACGGCCCUCGGGAUGGAAAACUCUGUGAUCCGGGACGAAAAGGCAGAGUGCGAAGAACAAACUGCAUUGACGGUACCGGAAAAGCAAGCCACGGCUAACUACGUG